ACACAUGCAAGUCGUACCAGUGAGUAACGCAGUCAGCUUGCUGCUUUGCUGACGAGUGGCGGACGGGUGAGUAAUGUCUGGGAAACUGCCUGAUGGAGGGGGAUAACUACUGGAAACGGUAGCUAAUACCGCAUAACGUCGCAAGACCAAAGAGGGGGACCUUCGGGCCUCUUGCCAUCGGAUGUGCCCAGAUGGGAUUAGCUAGUAGGUGGGGUAACGGCUCACCUAGGCGACGAUCCCUAGCUGGUCUGAGAGGAUGACCAGCCACACUGGAACUGAGACACGGUCCAGACUCCUACGGGAGGCAGCAGUGGGGAAUAUUGCACAAUGGGCGCAAGCCUGAUGCAGCCAUGCCGCGUGUAUGAAGAAGGCCUUCGGGUUGUAAAGUACUUUCAGCGGGGAGGAAGGGAGUAAAGUUAAUACCUUUGCUCAUUGACGUUACCCGCAGAAGAAGCACCGGCUAACUCCGUGCCAGCAGCCGCGGUAAUACGGAGGGUGCAAGCGUUAAUCGGAAUUACUGGGCGUAAAGCGCACGCAGGCGGUUUGUUAAGUCAGAUGUGAAAUCCC
This 567-nucleotide ribosomal RNA is filed under the name Shigella dysenteriae. RNAcentral's name for it is "bacterial SSU rRNA". It matches the Rfam family "Bacterial small subunit ribosomal RNA", at positions 51 to 603 of the family's 1533-position model. The record is from RNAcentral. Lineage: Bacteria; Pseudomonadati; Pseudomonadota; Gammaproteobacteria; Enterobacterales; Enterobacteriaceae.